GAUGAAGAACGCAGUGAAAUGCGAUAAGUAGUGUGAAUUGCAGAAUUCAGUGAAUCAUCGAAUCUUUGAACGCACAUUGCGCCCCUCGGUAUUCCGUGGGGCGUGCCUGUUCGAGCGUCAUUUAACCCCUCAAGCCUAGCUUGGUAUUGGGUGCUUGUCCCGCCUCUCGCGCGGCGACUCACCUCAAAGUCAUUGGCAGCCCGCAUCUCGCCGGCCGUGAGCGCAGCACAGACGCGCUCUUGGCAACGACGGAUCGGCUCUCCAAAAGCUUAUUUCAACCACUGACCUCGGAUCAGGUAGGGAUACCCGCUGAACUUAAGCAUAUCAAUAAGCGGAGGA
RNAcentral lists this unclassified non-coding RNA (339 nucleotides) under soil metagenome. RNAcentral describes it as "partial contains 5.8S ribosomal RNA, internal transcribed spacer 2, and large subunit ribosomal RNA". The stretch from base 1 to 120 matches the Rfam family "5.8S ribosomal RNA", at positions 35 to 154 of the family's 154-position model. The record is from RNAcentral.